AAUCAACGCUGGCGGCGUGCCUAACACAUGCAAGUCGAACGAGAAAGUGGAGCAAUCCAUGAGUAAAGUGGCGACCGGGUGAGUAACACGUGACUAACCUACCCUUGAGUGGGGGAUAACCUCGGGAAACCGGGGCUAAUACCGCAUAACAUCCUCGGGAUGAAAAGCCGAGGAUCAAAGGAGCAAUUCGCUUAAGGAGGGGGUCGCGGCUGAUUAGCUAGUUGGCGGGGUAACGGCCCACCAAGGCGAAGAUCGGUAGCCGGCCUGAGAGGGCGCA
RNAcentral lists this ribosomal RNA (277 nucleotides) under uncultured bacterium. RNAcentral describes it as "partial 16S ribosomal RNA". It matches the Rfam family "Bacterial small subunit ribosomal RNA", at positions 32 to 304 of the family's 1533-position model. The record is from RNAcentral.